Molecule: non-coding RNA, 78 nt
Submitted as: unclassified sequences
Source: Rfam
AGCACACGAACGGUGGGGUAACGGAAACGUCCCCAAAAUUAAUCUUAUGAUUGUUUAGCAGCCGUGACCGUGUGCUUU